GGGGGGGAGCACAGUGUGCAGUGAUUAUGCGCCUGCAGCAUACGGACCGCCCCGGCCAUCCCGGACCUUCCCUGUCCCUGGGCCUCAGAGCCCGCCUUAAGGGUGAAACAGGUGCUCUGCUGACCCCCCCCUCCCUCCGAGCCUGCCCAGGACCAGCCCCCCGGGGAGUCAGGCUCCCCCGGGAAGGGCUCUCCCCCGGGCACCUUGGCCUUUGCCCUCGCCGCGGGGAGGCCCCUCUCCCAGGGACAGCUCUGCCCCGGGGGUGGGGACUCCAGGGGCUCUGGAUGGGGCCCAGCAGCUUGGGCUGGGCCAGGAGAGGGAGGCCGGCGGCCCAUCCUCCCCCAAGAGAUGGAUGACCCCAGGAACGACUUGGAAGGAGGGAGCAGUCAUGAGGCACCCACUGUGAGCCCCACUGAGGCAGCCUCUCAGCCCAGCCCCCAACAGGUGGCACCUCACUUGAGCCCAAGGGGCUGUUGUGACUUCAGGAGUGUCGGGGGCUGGGGGACAGAACUGCUGAAUCCCCAUUUUGCCGAUGAGGGGAGCAGGUCAGCUGGUUUGGGCCCCGCCAUGGCUGGGGGGAGGCCCUGGGCCUGAGGAGUCGGGUCCUGUUCCCGUCAGGUUUCUCUCACCCGCCUCCUCGCCCGCCUCCCUCAGACCCCUGGCUCCCAUUGGGCCCUUAAGGGGUCAGGACAAAGCCCUGGGCCAGGCAUUCGAGGCUCGCCUUCAGAGCCAAAGCUUCUCCCUCCCAAGGUGGCCCUGAUCGCUACCUGCUGAAACCCUCCCCUCCUCCUCCCUCCCCUUGGCCCCUGCCGGGGGGCCGCCCCCAGGCCCUGCCCCCUUUACUCCGCACUCAGGGAUCUUUCGCUCCUGGGACCCCCUGGGUCGGGCCCAGGGUUCCCGCCGGUUUCGUGACUCCGCCUGCCCGACCCAGGUGGGCCCCAGUUCCCUCAAAGGGACCCUUGGUCGCUACUCAAGCCCUCACCUCUCUCUGAUUCUCCUUUACUGCGCUUUUCCAGUCUCCCCAGCUGAAUGUCGGGUUGCUCCUUUCACCAUCUCGACCCCAUUCCAUCCUAGCCACGGUCCCAUUUCCCCACCCCCCCCUCCCCUGACCCCCCCCCGGCACACCCUGGCCAGAGUGGCUGUGGGAUCCGCCCGCCCUUCCCCCAUCGCCCCCAGGGGUCCCAGGAGGCCAGAAGGGAAGGAAGGAGUGGGGCGGGGGGGGGGCUCCCCAGCUGACCGUAGCUUCUGGAGGUGACCCGGGAGGCCUACGGGGCUCCCCAAGCUUCAUUUCUCUGUAUUUUGCUUUCAUCGACGUGUGCCGUUGCUGGAACAGAAUGUGAACUCCGAGGCCAGGUUUUGCUCUCCGGUCCCGUGCCUAUAGAAGCGUGCCAGCAGAGAGUGGGCACUUGAUGCUCGUGAUCUGAACGAGAACAGUCCCGGCCUUUAGUAGCGUCACAGAGGUCAUCUCGGCCCCAAAGUCCGGCUGAUGAGGCAGUCCGGUCCCCCCUCCCCCCGCCCCAGACCUCAGCUCCUGCUCCGGGCCUUUGCAGGAGAAAUUGGAAUCGCCCCCUUUUUUUCUUUAGAUAAUAUCUCAGAAAAACAGGCCCCCAGACCCCAAGGGCUGUUUCCUGUUACCCAAACUCGCAGGAUUCUUUGGGUGUCUGAACAGGAGGGCUGAGGAGUGUCAGAAACAACAGCUUACCUUCGUGUAGCCUUUUAAAGGCGCAGCGGUCUUCCCAUCCAGCUUCUCCGCUGAACCUCUCAUGUCCUUCAAGGUGGAUGAUGGUUAAGGGUGAAACAGGUGCUCUGCUGACCACCCCCCUCCUCCCGAGCCUGCCCAGGACCAGCCCCCCGGGGAGUCAGGCUCCCCAGGGAAGGGCUCUCCCCCGGGCACCUUGGCCUUUGCCCUCUCCGCGGGGAGGCGUUCUCACCUCUGGUGUACAGAUGGAAAAACUGAGGCCCAGAGUAAAUGACUUGGUCAGUUAAAGGGCUUGAUGAUUUACAGAUGAGGAAGCUGAGCCCCAAAAUAAAUAGCUUCCCUGUGGUUAGUCAAAGGGCUAAGAAAUGGACAGAGAAGAUUUGAACCCAUUUUACAGAUGAGGAAGCUGAGCCCCAAAGUAAAUGACUUGGUUAGUCAAAUGGCUGGGAAAUGUACAGAGAACCCGUUUUACAGAUGAGGAGGCUGAGGCCCAGAAAGGCCAUUACUACUACAAAGGUAGUAACGACAGUGGUAUUUCCAUUGUCCCUCACUGCCUAUUCUGACUCCCAUUCUCUCCUCCCUGCCACGCUGGUGCCCUUUGGACCGGAAAGGGGCUGCUGGUUCCUGGCCCACCACUGACUCUGAGAGACAGGGCGUUUGGCUGGGCACCAGCUGGCACCAGGCUAGCUUCUUUUUCAUUUGACCCAUUUAUUUCAAGCCUCCCACGUGGAAAGCCCCGAGCUCCCCACAGGGACCCCCAGAGCUGCCCCAGAGCUUCUCGGAGGGUCAGGGGACGGAUGCCAAGGCGAGGACACAGGUGGACAGUCGGCAUCAGGCUCAGUGGCAGAGUCCCAGAGACCAGAGGCUUGCUGCCGUCCCCGAACGGGGCAUUUGUCGGGAAGAGCUCCCUCUGGCUCCGGGCACCGGCCUUGCCUCCGAGGGGCGACCGGGAGAGAACUCCAGGAGAAGGGUCUCUAUCGGGUGACUGAGGCCUUGAAUGCUAGACCAGGGGUUUUGAGCUCCAUGAUGUUCUUCUUUAAAAAUGAGGUUGAACAUUCACUUCACUUAAGGUUUUUUUUUUUUUGAGUUCAGAAUUUUCUUCCUCCUUCUACUGGAAAGGGGAGCGAUCUCGAUCACACCUGUGGAGCCGGGCACGGUACUUCCCUAGUAGCCACGUGGCAGAGAGAGAGAGCAGAGGAAAGCAGUGGCUUCUCUCUGCACUCAAGGCUCCCCCCUGGAGGGCUGCCCGUCCCACCGGAGCACUCAGCUGGUCGCUACGGUGGCUCUGGCUCAGCUCGCUCUGCUGGGCAUCAGCCCCUCCACUUCUUCCCUGGUUUUUCUGGACCCGGCCGUUCAGACAGCACAGUCCCAGCCCACGAUUCACCCCAGUGCUCCCGGCUUCCCCACAAGGACCAGCUCUCCGCCACCCCAAAAGGCGCUGCCCCGAAUGUUUGUGCUCCUCUGGGGCCUGCUCCUCUUUCUCUGAUCUUGGGGUGUGUGGGCCGUAGCCGGGAGCGAGGCCGGCAGUCUUGCAUUGGCCACUGUUCCAGAAGGUUCCCGCAUCGGCCGGGCCGGCUCCCGACCCACCCCGGAAGGGCUUGAGGAGCUCAAGGUCUGCACGUCCCUCCGGCCUUUUCCUGUUCUGUCCUUUUAGCCAGUCUGAUGUUGGGGGGGGGGGGGGGGGGCAGAGUUUAACUCCUAGCUCUGAUCGUGGUGAUUUGGAGCUUUUCCUGUGACUCUCGCCCAAGCUGCCCGUUGGGAGGCUCUGACCUUUAUUUGGGCCGUUCCCCCAGAGGUGAUGAGAAGCUUGAUGGCCUUUGAGCAGAGAGAGGGCAGGCCCUUGGCUGAGGUGCCUGGGCCAGAGGCGGGAAGACCACAACGGGGAGAGAGUUGGAUUGGGGGAGUUGGCGGGGCCCUCGAUGCCCUCCCUGUGUGACUAGGCUCAACUUUGCUUCCCCCCCCCCCUUUUCUUUUGUCAUGACAACCUUGGUCUUCCUCAGGUCAGCGUUCUAAGCACAUUUUAGUGUGGACAUUUCCUGGUGACAUCAUCAAAAGGGAUGCGGGUCAUCCCCUCGCCAUGAAUGGCAGGAGCCGUGACGGAGGCCAGGCCUGACCCUGGCUGGGUGACCCUGAAUGAAUCACUGCAGACCGCCUCCCCGGCCUCAGCACCCUGAGUCACAGCAGCUCCCGGCCUCCUCCUUUCCCUCUCUGUGUCUGUGUCUUUAUAUAUUUAUCUCUCUGUCUCUCUCUUUCUGUCUCUAUGUUUCUCUGUGUCUCUAUUUCUUUUCUCUCUGCCUCUUUUUCUCCUCUUUUCUGUCUCUGUCUCUCUCUGUCUCUCUUUCUGUGUGUCUCUGUCUCUUUAUAUGUUUAUCUCUCUGUCUUUCCUCUCUCUGCCUCUCUUUCUAUGUUUCUCUGUGUCUCUCUUUUCUCUCUGCCUCUUUUUCUCCUCUUUUCUGUCUCUGUCUCUCUCUGUCUUCCCCCCUUCCUCUCCCUCCCUCCUCCUUUUUCUGUGUCUCUGCCUCUAACUCUCUUCUCCUCUCUGUGUCUCUGUCUCUUUAUGUGUUUGUCUCUCUGUGUCUCUAUCUCUAUGUGUUUGUCUCUCUAUGUCUCUGUCUCUGCCUGUGUCUCUGUCCCUGUCUGUGUCUCUCCUCUCCUCUGUCUCUCUCUGUCUCUGUCUCUUUGCCAACCCUUCCCUCUGCCCCCGGGGAGCUCGCCAUCAUUAUUUCUAUGAAGCUAUUUUAAAAAGAAGAAACUGGGGCCCGGGCUGUCCCACUUUGCAGCCAUCGUGGGGCUCGUGACGGGUCCCUUGUCCCCGCUCGUGCCUGCAGGUGACAGGGCGUGGCCGGUGCUUGUCAGCUGCCAGGGGUGAAAAAACAAUGGCCUCCGUUGGGAAAUGUUCUACAAAUAAACACAGAGUUUGACGUGUGGGGCCGGUGGCUCCGGGAGUGUUUGUGGCCUGUAGGGAUCCUCUUCUCCUGGGCCUGACAUCACUGCCCAGGCCCCUCCCCGUUCAGCCCCCCCACUUCUCUGUGCCCCCCCCCCGGCUGGGGGCGGCUCGCCAUCCUUGUGCCUUUUCAUUCUGCUGAAGUUCAGUCGGGUCAGAGCCGGUAACGGGCACUCUGGACCUAGGCCCUUUGGGUGGAAGGGAGCCUGAGAGCGUCCCUCCCCUCCCGAGACCACAUCUGGCAUCGUUAGGGCCGCGGGCUCAGAGGACGCUCCCCGUAACCAGGGAGGGGCCGAGGGCUCGGUGGGAGAGGGAGAGCGCCCACAGUGUCUGGAGCCCGGGGGCUUCGUGGCCCCGGCUGAUGUGAGAGGUACAUAGCCAAGGGGACGUUUACCUUGGCCGACUGUGUCUAGAACGCCACGUGACAGCCCUGCCUGGGCCUCCCAGAAGUUCUGGCUCUUGGUCAGUGGCUCGGGGAAGGAGAGGUGGUGACUUGUCCCUCAGGGUCCCCUCAGCUCCCUACACUCAGAAGAAAGACCCAGGGCAGCUGGGUAGUAGAUAGAGCACCAGCCCCAAAGUCAGGAGGACCUGAGUUCAAAUUUGACCUCAGACAUUUAACACUUCCUUCUGUGUGACCCUGGGCAAGUCUCUUAACCCCAAUUGCCUCAGUAGAAAAAAAAGCAGAAGAAAGACUGGAAUUCACCCCCAGCUUCAGGACUCCAAGGCCCACUUUCUUUCCAUUAUGGCUUGUGCAUGUCCCACUAGAGCAUCUUUAUUCUAUAGGUGCAGAAACUGAGGCUGAGAGAAAUAAAAGCCCCGCCCCUCCCUUAACCCCCUGCUCAACUGAAUCAGUUCUGGUAGCUUUAUGGGAGAUUGGGAGCUGAGAUGGGCCCGAAGGCCCCUUCUGCAAAUGAGGAAACAAGGUGUAUAUGGCUCGGCUCCGGUCCCCCAGCCCUGUCACAGAGUCCGCCGCCCAGCGCCUUGAACUGUGAUUUGUGACACCAUGUGGGGCCUUGUGGCUGAGGGGGGGCCGCGCAAAAGGACGCUUUCUUAGCAGGAAGUGCUUGAUUUGUGGACUUAUUUUAUGUACCCGGAGACUCAGGGUCGUGGAAAAAAGGGAUCGCAGGGGGAAGCAGUUUAAGAAGGUCUGCUCUAAAGAAUGGGGAGGCGUGAGAGCCGUGUGCGUGUGCUUGUGUGCGCGUUUGUGCAGGUGUGUGUGCAGAUGCAUGUGCAGGUGUAUACACAGGUGUAUGCGCAGGUGUGUGUAAGUAUGUGUGCAGGUGUGUGUGCAGGUAUGUGCGCAGGUGUGUGUGUGCAGGUGUGUGCAGGUGUGUGUGCAGAUGUGUGUGCAGGUGUAUAUACAGGUAUAUGCACAGGUGUGUGUAAGUAUGUGUGCACAGGUGUGUGCGCAGGUGUGUGUGUAUGUGUACAGGUGUGUGCAGGUGUGUGUGUGCAGGUGUGUUCGCGGGUGCGUGUGCAGGUGCGAUCUGCUUGGUGGAAUCAAGACUGUGUGUAUGAAUCAAGGUCCCGAGACUUCCCUUGGGGUGAGAGGGAGGCUCACUGGCUUUUUUCCUGCCUGUUUCAUGGAGCCCAGGAAUGACAUGUGAAUCACUGCCUGCCUUUAGGAAUUCUUGGGUCUGCUGCUUCAUUUGCUCCCCGGGCUCACCUGGAAGGACAGAGCCUGCCCCGCUCAGUGUCUCUUUGGGAUCAGUCCCACUUAGGUUUUUGAAAAGCGGCAUGAAUGUUUCAGAGGGGAAACUGAGUCACCAAAAAGAGGCCUUUGUUUCUAGUAACAAUUUGUAAAACUCCUCCCAUCCCCCAGCCCCAGCCGCGUGCCAGGGGCUCCCUCAGUAGGUCUCAUAGUAGGGUCUCCCUCAGUAGAACAUAAAGUCCCUGCUGCCCUAGUGCCUGCUCUUGUCCUUGGCGCUGCCAGGAAAUUGUUGGGGGUGUUUUGUUUGGGGGGGGGGCUGCAGCCUGGGUCCUGCUCUUGUUAUCAUGUUAUCGUGACCCUUUAUUUUGCCCUCUUCUGAAGGGGAGCUGGUCAGAGGGCGGCUUCGCCAGCCAAGCGUGGAGCCAGGCCAGACGGGGCAGGGAGACAUCUCUUCUGACACCUGGAAAACUAACCCACGUGGCCCGUGUGUGCAAUUGUGUCUUUCCCUGGUGUGGCUGGGCCACGGCUGACUUGGGUAACCCUCUCUGCCAUCUGUCCCUGGUCAGAUGUGCCCGGGCUUGGAUCACGCCCCUGGUCCCCUUGUGAUCCAAGACUCUCCUGGCCGACAGGAGCCCGGGCCCAGGCUGCGCUCCUGCAAGAAAGCCCGACAUAACUGAAAGGGCACUGGCCUUGGGUCAAGAUCCGGAUUCCAGUUCUGCCACUGCAGCCUCCAUUUCCUUGUCUGUAAACGGAAGACUAGAUAAUCUCGGAGCUCCCUCUCAGCCCCAAAUCCUGUAUUUGGAGGCUUCUUUGAGCUGCAAAGCUUGACGGGCUCCUUGAGACUCAGUGGCCGAAAUGUUUUUUCUCGGGGGACAGUGAGCAUUUUGAGGGUGAAUGGAGUUGGAAAGUCCGAGUGGACCUGCUGCCGUUCCUUGGGUAAGACCACUGGGGGAAACGUAGUCAGUGGGUAAAGAGUGCUGGAAAUCAUGGCAGCAUUUCUUCUUUCCAGGUGACAUGGCUGCAUGGGGGCGGCCGGCAGAGAAGGGGCCCGGGUUUUCCAUCCCCUUGUGCUGGUCUGUUUCCGCUCUGGUUAGAUCCUUCCCUCAUCCCUGGCUUUGUUCAUCCCAGCCCAAGGCAGAAGAGGCCGUCGGGGCCUCCGUGGAGGAGGCCUGGGAGGGCUGCUGCCAGCGGGGCAAGGAGAGAGUGAGGGGUCCAGAGAAGUGACUCGGACCUUGUCAAAAGAGCUCAGAGAGGCCUCUUCAGCUUACCAAGCAAGCACUUCCUCUUCUCAUGGAGCAGGGCAGAAAUCUCUGCCUGGAAGGCCCGGCCGGACAAAGCCUCCAGCUCUAGUCAAACCUGCUUUCCCAGAAUGUUCAGGGAAGUGGAUUAAUGGGGAAUGGGCCAGGAAAUCUUCUGGGGGGAGAAUCAGAUAGAAAAUGAGCCUCCUCUUCUCUCAAAGACCUUAUCAUCUAAUCGGAAGAGUUUAGCUACCGGGCAGAUGGCCAGGCCCGGGGGUUCUGAGGGCACUCCGCCAGGCAAAUGGUGAUGUCAUGGCACAAGUGCCAAGAUAGGCGAUAGUACCAAAUGGUUUUUAGGACCAGCACUUUCUGUGAGAAGUCCUUAAGUAUAAGUUGACCUUUGGGAGAAGGAAUGGACUGUGGGCAGCCAAGGCUGGGGGCCUUUGACUAAAUCAAGUAGCACAGAUACUAAAAUUGGGGGCGAUACCAAGAAGUUGAGCAUGGCCCCUGUGCAAGGGGCACAAUAAGCACUUGUUCAUUGUUCCGAAGGAUCCAGCAGUGACCAGAUUGUUGUGCUUGGGGCUCUCCGGGGCUAGUUUGCUUAGGACUGAUCCUGGAAAUGGUUUUUUAAAGGAAACCCUUUUAGAUCAAGAUGUGUUUCUUUAGGAUUUUUUCCUAAAAGUUGCAGGGAGAGAAGAAAAAUUCUGGUCAAUUUAAAUUCUUCUGUAAUUCUGUCAAUUCUGUAUGUUCUCUUCUCUACUCCUAUCCCCCGAUCCGAUUUCUCUUCUUCCUGUCAGAGAAAUUUAGUUAUGUUGGUCUUUGUUUUAAAUAAGUUUUAAUUGAUGUCUUUUGUUUUUUACAUCAUCUUAAUUUCCCCUGGUAUCCCUCCCCUUCCCUCUUCCAGAGAGCCAACUCAAGAGUAUUUUUAAAAGGUUUUUAAAAAAAGAAAAAGAGGAAAAGGAAAUAAAAAUCACAGUUGAUUAAUAUAUAUUGAAAAUGUCUGAAAAUGUGCCUAGAAGUAAUAGCUGUGGACCUCCCACCUCCAUGAAGCGCAAGGUUGGGAAUGUCUUUUCAUAUUUCUUUUAAGCCAUCAUUUUUAAAAAACAAGUUUACGACAUUCGCUUCUGAUUUUUUUGCCUGAUUUUCUUUGCAUUUCCAUUGUUGUAGUCAUUGUGUGAAGUGUUUUCUUAGCUCUGCAUUGGUUCAUUUAGAUCUUUGUGUAGAUUUAUCAGACUUGUUAGAGCACAGGACUAUUUCAUUCUAUUCAGGGACCAAGCUCAGGUUAGCCAUUCCCCAGGCAAGGGACAUCGACUCUUGUUUCCACUUCUUUGCUCUCACAGAACGUGCUGCUAUAAGCGUUUUGGCACCUGCAGAGACUUUGUACUUAUCAGGAACUUCCUUGGAGCACAAGGCUGUAAUGGAAGCUCAGAGUCCAGGGAUACGGCUGUUUAAUUCACUUUUAUUUGCACGAUUCCAAAUUACUUUCCAAAAUGGCCUUACCAGUGUGCGGCUCUCCCAGCGUUGCAAUUGUGUGUCUUAUCAUUCCACAACCUGGAUUGUUGUCAUCUUAGCCAACUUGCUGGUUAUGACGUGAAACCGCAGAGUUGUUUUGGUUUCCUUUAAAGGUUUAUUAGUGAUUUGAAGUAUCCCUUCACGUAGUUGUCUUCUUUUGAGAUCUGUCUGUGUCUUUUGGGCUCUUGUCAAUUGGGGAAUAGCUUUGUAGAAGCUUUUCCGUUUCAUGAAGCCAAAGUUUUAUAUUUUUAUCCUAUGUAAAAGCGUCUAUCACUUGAUUGGUUAAGAAUACAUUAACUUCUGGAUAGACAAAAUUAAUGCAGCUACAAUCAGAAGGAAGUAGUUGAAUGGGAAAAUGAUUUUUUCAGAUUUUUCUGAUAAGGGUUUGGUAUCCGAGAUACGUGUUAACAGUUAACAUGUAUCACACACACACACACACACACACACACACACACACACACACUCAUCCCUGUCAUCUGCUUCUCUUCUAAUCUUUUUGAAUAUGAUCUUUGGUAUUAAGGUCACGCAUUCAUUCAUUCAGAAAGUAUUAUGGAAGGUGGUGUAAAGGGUUGAUCUAAUUUCGGUCGGGCUGCUUUCCAGUUUUCCCAGCAUUUUUAAUCAGACUGGGAUUCUUUCCUAAGUACUUUAUGUUUUCUGCUUUAUGGGAUGCUGGCUUAUUGGGUCCCAUUGUUUCUGAUUCCCUCUUGCCGGGUCUGGUCCUCUGAGCCCCCUUUCUGUUUUCUAACUGUUGGGUGACUGCUGUUUUAUGAGUUGGGAUCCGGAGCCUCGGUCUUUAGAAAAAGACGGGAUGGUGACUUUCACUGGGAUCUGUGUUGUGGCCGAAAGGCUCACCUGCAGGUGAUAGACAUCUUGGCUUUGUCAUCGCUCAGAUAGGACGGUUGUCCUGCUUUCCUUGUUUCCCCUCAGUCCUGAACAAGAUGCUCCCGUGCGAAUUCCCCUUGCCCUUCUCCUGGGAAGAGACCAAGAGGAGCUCUGGUCAAAGACACUCCCUGCCCAGUUGGGUCUUUGGGGUGCGGUCGCCUUGCCUGCCCCUCCUCCCUCCUGGCCCCCCAGCGAUGUCUGUGCUGGAGGCCAAGCUCUGGAGAGUUGCCUGAAACUUCUCAGCUUUUGAGCUUCCCGCCCAAGGGCUGCCCGAGUCUUUCUCAGGCCUUGGUGUUUGCUCGUUUGGAGAUGGUCCCCAUUUGACAGACUGAGCGGAAAAUAAGGUGGAGGACAGAUGGGAGAAGGUGGAGCCUGGAGGUGGGGAGAUGCAGUCCUGCUGGAGAGGCCUGAUAAGGCCCUGACCUGGAUCAGUGCCAUGGAGUCAGAGAUGGGGGGGAGAAGGGGGCCUGGGCCCGCCGGGGCAGCUGAUUAGCCACCAGGGAGAGGCAAGGACAGAGGGUUGUAAUGGGCUGAGGUUUGAGCUGAUGCACUGAGGUCCCAAGUACAUGAGGCUAGAUAGUAAUUGGGCUAUACUCUAUUAAUAUACAUGAUUGGAUAAAGAAUGGUCCCUGCCCACUCUCCGUGCAAGUCCUGAUGUGUUGUAUAGGAAAUGACGAUUUUGGUGGGUGGAGGCAGAGAGAGAGGGAGGAAGACAAGUGGGGAGAGAUU
RNAcentral lists this long non-coding RNA (10655 nucleotides) under Sarcophilus harrisii (Tasmanian devil). Its description in RNAcentral is "lncRNA (ENSSHAG00000023848.1)". Lineage: Eukaryota; Metazoa; Chordata; Mammalia; Dasyuromorphia; Dasyuridae. The record is from RNAcentral.